This 497-nucleotide ribosomal RNA is filed under the name uncultured bacterium. Its description in RNAcentral is "partial 16S ribosomal RNA". It matches the Rfam family "Bacterial small subunit ribosomal RNA", at positions 28 to 507 of the family's 1533-position model. The record is from RNAcentral.
GAUGAACGCUGGCGGCGUGCCUAAUACAUGCAAGUCGAGCGAACAGACGAGGAGCUUGCUCCUCUGACGUUAGCGGCGGACGGGUGAGUAACACGUGGAUAACCUACCUAUAAGACUGGGAUAACUUCGGGAAACCGGAGCUAAUACCGGAUAAUAUAUUGAACCGCAUGGUUCAAUAGUGAAAGACGGUUUUGCUGUCACUUAUAGAUGGAUCCGCUCCGCAUUAGCUAGUUGGUAAGGUAACGGCUUACUAAGGCAACGAAGCGUAGCCGACCUGAGAGGGUGAUCGGCCACACGGGAACUGAGACACGGUCCAGACUCCUACGGGAGGCAGCAGUAGGGAAUCUUCCGCAAUGGGCGAAAGCUUGACGGAGCAACGCCGCGUGAGUGAUGAAGUUCUUCGGAUCGUAAAACUCUUUUAUUAUGGAAGAACAAAUGUGUAAGUAACUAUGCACGUCUUGACGGUACCUAAUCAGAAAGCCACGGCUAACUACGUG